GGCUGAGAGGGCGACCGGCCACACUGGGACUGAGACACGGCCCAGACUCCUACGGGAGGCAGCAGUGGGGAAUCUUGCGCAAUGGGCGGAAGCCUGACGCAGCGACGCCGCGUGGGGGAUGAAGGCCUUCGGGUUGUAAACCCCUUUCAGCAGGGACGAAUUCAGACGGUACCUGCAGAAGAAGCGCCGGCUAACUACGUGCCAGCAGCCGCGGUAACACGUAGGGCGCAAGCGUUGUCCGGAAUUAUUGGGCGUAAAGAGCUCGUAGGCGGACUGUUGCGUCUGCUGUGAAAAGCUGGGGCUUAACCCUGGCCUUGCAGUGGAUACGGGCAGACUAGAGGUAGGUAGGGGAGAAUGGAAUUCCCGGUGUAGCGGUGAAAUGCGCAGAUAUCGGGAGGAACACCGGUGGCGAAGGCGGUUCUCUGGGCCUUACCUGACGCUGAGGAGCGAAAGCGUGGGGAGCGAACAGGAUUAGAUACCCUGGUAGUCCACGCUGUAAACGUUGGGCGCUAGGUGUGGGGUCCUUCCACGGAUUCCGUGCCGCAGCUAACGCAUUAAGCGCCCCGCCUGGGGAGUACGGCCGCAAGGCUAAAACUCAAAGGAAUUGACG
Molecule: ribosomal RNA, 610 nt
Filed under: uncultured Actinomycetes bacterium
Lineage: Bacteria; Bacillati; Actinomycetota; Actinomycetes
Description: SSU rRNA
Rfam family: Bacterial small subunit ribosomal RNA
Source: RNAcentral